Molecule: ribosomal RNA, 500 nt
Filed under: uncultured bacterium
Lineage: Bacteria
Description: bacterial SSU rRNA
Rfam family: Bacterial small subunit ribosomal RNA
Source: RNAcentral
GAUGAACGCUAGCUACAGGCUUAACACAUGCAAGUCGAGGGGUCUCAACGAGGUUCGCCUUUGAGAGACGACCGGCGCACGGGUGAGUAACGCGUAUCCAACCUGCCCUUCAUAUUGGGAUAGCCUUCCGAAAGGAAGAUUAAUACCGAAUAACAUGAGAUAGUUGCCUGAUUUUCUCAUGAAAGCUCCGGCGAUGAAGGAUGGGGAUGCGUUCCAUUAGGUAGUAGGCGGGGUAACGGCCCACCUAGCCAACGAUGGAUAGGGGUUCUGAGAGGAAGGUCCCCCCACACUGGAACUGAGACACGGUCCAGACUCCUACGGGAGGCAGCAGUGAGGAAUAUUGGUCAAUGGGCGCAAGCCUGAACCAGCCAAGUAGCGUGAAGGAUGAAGGUUCUAUGGAUUGUAAACUUCUUUUAUACGGGAAUAAAACACCUUACGUGUGGGAGCUUGUAUGUACCGUAUGAAUAAGCAUCGGCUAACUCCGUGCCAGCAGCCGCGGU